RNAcentral lists this ribosomal RNA (253 nucleotides) under uncultured bacterium. RNAcentral describes it as "partial 16S ribosomal RNA". It matches the Rfam family "Bacterial small subunit ribosomal RNA", at positions 524 to 776 of the family's 1533-position model. The record is from RNAcentral.
UACAGAGGGGGCAAGCGUUGUUCGGAAUUACUGGGCGUAAAGGGCGCGUAGGCGGCCUGUUAAGUCGAACGUGAAAUCCCCGGGCUCAACCCGGGAACUGCGUCCGAAACUGGCAGGCUUGAAUCCGGGAGAGGGAUGCGGAAUUCCAGGUGUAGCGGUGAAAUGCGUAGAUAUCUGGAGGAACACCGGUGGCGAAGGCGGCAUCCUGGACCGGUAUUGACGCUGAGGCGCGAAAGCCAGGGGAGCAAACGGG